RNAcentral lists this ribosomal RNA (379 nucleotides) under Betta pulchra. RNAcentral's name for it is "partial 12S ribosomal RNA". It matches the Rfam family "Bacterial small subunit ribosomal RNA", at positions 803 to 1384 of the family's 1533-position model. Lineage: Eukaryota; Metazoa; Chordata; Actinopteri; Anabantiformes; Osphronemidae. The record is from RNAcentral.
UAAACAUUGGUACAUUAUUACAUUUUCAAUCCGCCCGGGUACUACAAGCGCUAGCUUAAAACCCAAAGGACUUGGCGGUGCUUAAGAUCCCCCUAGAGGAGCCUGUUCUAGAACCGAUAAUCCACGUUUAACCUCACCCUCCCUUGUUUCUCCCGCCUAUAUACCGCCGUCGUCAGCUUACCCUGUGAAGGUCUAACAGUGAGCAAAAAUGGCACAGCCCAAAACGUCAGGUCGAGGUGUAGCGCAUGAGAGGGGAAGAAAUGGGCUACAUUCUCUAAAAUAGAAGCAUACGGAUAAUAUAUUGAAAUAUUUAUUUUAAGGAGGAUUUAGCAGUAAGUAGAAAUUAGAAUAUUCCACUGAAUCCGGCCCUAAAGCGCGC